AGCAGCCGCGGUAAUUCCAGCUCCAAUAGCGUAUAUUAAAGUUGUUGCAGUUAAAAAGCUCGUAGUUGAAUUUCGGGAUCAAUACGUCGGUCGUGCUUCGGUACGUACUGGCGUAAUUGAUUUCUCCCCUUCUGACGAACCAUGAUGUCAUUAACUUGGUGUCAUGGGAAAUCAGGACUGUUACUUUGAAAAAAUUAGAGUGUUUAAAGCAGGCUCACGCUUGAAUACAUUAGCAUGGAAUAAUGAAAUAGGACGUUCGAUCCUAUUUUGUUGGUUUUUAGGAUCAACGUAAUGAUUAAUAGGGAUAGUUGGGGGCAUUAGUAUUCAAUUGUCAGAGGUGAAAUUCUUGGAUUUAUUGAAGACUAACUACUGCGAAAGCAUUUGCCAAGGAUGUUUUCAUUAAUCAAGAACGAAAGUUAGGGGAUCGAAGACGAUCAGAUACCGUCGUAGUCUUAACAUAAA
Molecule: ribosomal RNA, 462 nt
Filed under: uncultured Glomus
Lineage: Eukaryota; Fungi; Glomeromycota; Glomeromycetes; Glomerales; Glomeraceae
Description: SSU rRNA
Rfam family: Eukaryotic small subunit ribosomal RNA
Source: RNAcentral